RNAcentral lists this ribosomal RNA (460 nucleotides) under uncultured bacterium. Its description in RNAcentral is "partial 16S ribosomal RNA". It matches the Rfam family "Bacterial small subunit ribosomal RNA", at positions 338 to 795 of the family's 1533-position model. The record is from RNAcentral.
CCUACGGGGAGCUGCAGUGAGGAAUAUUGGUCAAUGGCCGGAAGGCUGAACCAGCCAUGCCGCGUGAAGGUCAGUGCCCUAUGGGCGUUAAACUUCUUUUGUGCGGGAGCAAUAAUGGUCACGUGUGGCCAGACGAGAGUACCGUACGAAUAAGCAUCGGCUAACUCCGUGCCAGCAGCCGCGGUAAUACGGGGGAUGCAAGCGUUAUCCGGAUUUAUUGGGUUUAAAGGGUGCGUAGGCUGUGAGGUAAGUCAGCGGUGAAAUGCCCCCGCUCAACGGGGUGAAGUGCCAUUGAUACUGGCUGGCUGGAAUGCGGAUGCCGUGGGAGGAAUGUGUGGUGUAGCGGUGAAAUGCAUAGAUAUCACACAGAACACCGAGUGCGAAGGCAUCUCACGAAUCCGCGAUUGACGCUGAUGCACGAAAGCGUGGGUAUCAAACAGGAUUAGAUACCCUGGUAGUC